CAGCAGCCGCGGUAAUACGUAGGUGGCAAGCGUUGUCCGGAAUUAUUGGGCGUAAAGCGUGCGCAGGCGGUUGUGUAAGACAGGUGUGAAAUCCCCGGGCUUAACCUGGGAACUGCGCUUGUGACUGCACAGCUAGAGUAUGGCAGAGGGGGGUGGAAUUCCACGUGUAGCAGUGAAAUGCGUAGAGAUGUGGAGGAACACCGAUGGCGAAGGCAGCCCCCUGGGCCUGUACUGACGCUCAUGCACGAAAGCGUGGGGAGCAAACAGGAUUAGAUACCCGUGUAGUCCCUGUCUCUUAUAA
RNAcentral lists this ribosomal RNA (301 nucleotides) under uncultured bacterium. RNAcentral's name for it is "partial 16S ribosomal RNA". It matches the Rfam family "Bacterial small subunit ribosomal RNA", at positions 509 to 809 of the family's 1533-position model. The record is from RNAcentral.